This 337-nucleotide transfer-messenger RNA is filed under the name uncultured Clostridium sp. It matches the Rfam family "transfer-messenger RNA". From Rfam's summary of the family: Bacterial tmRNA, also known as 10Sa RNA or SsrA, is named for its dual tRNA and mRNA-like properties. The record is from RNAcentral. Lineage: Bacteria; Bacillati; Bacillota; Clostridia; Eubacteriales; Clostridiaceae.
GGGGAUGUUUUGGCUUCGACGGGGGUAAGAGAGGUUCGAUAAGCGAGUAGAGUGAAGCAUGUAAACUCUUUAAUCGAGUAUGCAAAACAAUAAACGCAGAAGAUAAUUUCGCGUUAGCAGCUUAAUUUAGCCGCUCAUCAGUCCCGACUCCUACGAUUGGGGUAGCUGGUGUCAUUAAGUAGGGAACCGAGUUUAGCAAAGCUUUGAGCUAGAAACGGAAUUUAUGAAGCUACCAUAGGAACAAUUUUGUUAUUGGAAGAGUUCUGAGGGAAAUAGUAACCAAUGACUACACUCGUAGAAAGUCUUACUAAUCUACUUUCGGACACGGGUUCGAUUC